This 746-nucleotide long non-coding RNA is filed under the name Homo sapiens (human). RNAcentral's name for it is "non-protein coding lnc-FAM133A-1:1". The record is from RNAcentral. Lineage: Eukaryota; Metazoa; Chordata; Mammalia; Primates; Hominidae.
AUGGAGGGUGUUGAAAAGAGGAAGAAAAGGUUUCUUCUGUGCCAGAAACCCUUAACAAUAAGUAAAAGGAAUUUUACAUAGUUGAAGAUCAAGCGCCAGAGAAAAAAAGCCCAAAAGAUGCUUUGAAAGGCAAGGAGAACAAAGGAAAGCAUGCUUUGUCUAUGAAAAAGUGAAUUACUAUCACAAUGACUAUAGGCAGAUGUACAGAAAUGAAAUAUGAAUGGCUAGGAUGACAAGAAAAGCUGGAAACUUCCCUGAACCUGCUGAAUCCAAACUGGCAUUUGUCGUCAGGAUUAGAGUUAUUAAUGGUGUGAGCCCAAAGUUCCAAAAGGUGUUGCAGCUUCUCUGCCUAUGUCACAUAUUCAAUGGAACUUUUGUUAAGCUCAGCAAGUCUUCAGUUAACAUGCUGAGGAUUGUAGAACCAUAGGGUUACCCAAACCUGAAAUCAGUAAAUAAACUAAUCUACAAGCAUAGUUAUGGCAAAAUCAAUAAGAAGCAAAUUGCUGUGACAGAUAACACUUUGAUUGCUCAGUGGCUCAGUAAAUAGGGCAUCAUCUGCAGGAAGGAUUUGACUCAUGGCAUCUAUAAUUUUGGAAAAUGCUUCAAAGAAGCAAAUAACUUCCUGUGGCCCUUCAAAUUAUCCUCUCCAGAUGUGGGAAAAAAAAAAAAAGACACAUUUUGUAGAUGGUGGAGAUGCUGGCAACAGGGCACACCAGAACAACAGGUUUGUUAGAAAGAUAAACUAA